RNAcentral lists this non-coding RNA (148 nucleotides) under Chlorocebus sabaeus (green monkey). Lineage: Eukaryota; Metazoa; Chordata; Mammalia; Primates; Cercopithecidae. The record is from Rfam by way of RNAcentral.
GCUGGGCAUGGUGGCGCAUGCCUGUAGUCCCAGCUACUCAGGAGGCUGAGGCUGGAGAAUCGCUUGAACCCAGGAGGUGGAGCUUGCAGUGAGCCGAGAUCGCACUACUGCACUCCAGCCUGGAUGACAGAGUGAGACUCUGUCUCAA